This 231-nucleotide ribosomal RNA is filed under the name uncultured bacterium. RNAcentral's name for it is "partial 16S ribosomal RNA". It matches the Rfam family "Bacterial small subunit ribosomal RNA", at positions 118 to 350 of the family's 1533-position model. The record is from RNAcentral.
UGGGUAACCUGCCCUGGACUUUGGGAUAACCCUCGGAAACGGGGGCUAAUACCGGAUACGACGGCUCACCGCAUGGUGUGGUUGUGGAAAGUUUUUCGGUCUGGGAUGGGCUCGCGGCCUAUCAGCUUGUUGGUGGGGUGAUGGCCUACCAAGGCGACGACGGGUAGCCGGCCUGAGAGGGCGACCGGCCACACUGGGACUGAGACACGGCCCAGACUCCUACGGGAGGCA